This 281-nucleotide ribosomal RNA is filed under the name Bacillaceae bacterium CL3.84. RNAcentral describes it as "partial 16S ribosomal RNA". It matches the Rfam family "Bacterial small subunit ribosomal RNA", at positions 216 to 489 of the family's 1533-position model. Lineage: Bacteria; Bacillati; Bacillota; Bacilli; Caryophanales; Bacillaceae. The record is from RNAcentral.
CACUUACAGAUGGGCCCGCGGCGCAUUAGCUAGUUGGUGAGGUAACGGCUCACCAAGGCGACGAUGCGUAGCCGACCUGAGAGGGUGAUCGGCCACACUGGGACUGAGACACGGCCCAGACUCCUACGGGAGGCAGCAGUAGGGAAUCUUCCACAAUGGACGAAAGUCUGAUGGAGCAACGCCGCGUGAGCGAUGAAGGCCUUCGGGUCGUAAAGCUCUGUUGUUAGGGAAGAACAAGUACCGGAGUAACUGCCGGCACCUUGACGGUACCUAACCAGAAA